Molecule: long non-coding RNA, 897 nt
Filed under: Setaria viridis
Lineage: Eukaryota; Viridiplantae; Streptophyta; Magnoliopsida; Poales; Poaceae
Description: long non-coding RNA (SVIR_LNC003528)
Source: RNAcentral
AUCAAGUUGAUGUAGCCCCGCCAACCCGUACGAACUCGUGAAAAGAAGAAAAGUAUUGGCGAAGUUGCCUGCUUGAAAGUAAGUGUGAGGAAAAAGUAGUUUGUUGUAUUGAUUUGAUGAUGAUUACAGAUCUAUGAAGGCGGCUAUUUAUAGCCUGUUACAACCAAUUUCUUAACCGACUAGGACUCUAUCUCUAGUUUUAAACGAAAACAAAUUACAAGUAUGAUUCGUAUUGGAGUUGAUCAUCGCGAUCCCAUGGGCCGAUCUCUUCUCUAUCUUCACAGUUCAUUUUAAGUCCAUAUUGGCCCAAUUGCUUCAUCCUCCCAAUCGGCCGAUUCCACCAACUCCAUUCGCCGAAAUACUGCAGCACUAAUUGGCCGAUCCUCAACUGUAGCACCAAUCGGCCGAUUCCCAAUCGUGACCUCUGUGUCUUGCCGCAUCUCCUGAUUUCUUCCUUUCUUGACGCCGAUUUCAUACGUGUCAAAAUCUGGCGUCAACACAUGCCUCCCAGUUUCGGAGUAAAAUAUAAUCUUUACUUCGAAAUUCUUUUCAACUUUCUUUCCGAAACAAACGCAUUGAAAAUAUCCUUCCGUUUCGCGGUCUCCAGCCUGAUGAUUGCAAUCUUUUCAAAACGGGCGCCCACGACAACCACUCCUCCCGAAAAAAAUCAAAACGCCGGCGUGGUAAAAAUUCUGUUUUUACCCCUUCUCAGACCACCUUUAAAUAUCAGUACGUCCCGUACUCUUCUUCACGAGCUCACGUCUUCCUUCUUUGGCGCACUGAUCUUCUCCUUCCUCCGGCACCUUCCUUAGCCUCCAGUCUUUUCCUCUGGCAUCUCCUUCCAUCUACAUUCCACCCCACUUCUCCAAUGGCGACACCCUCAGGCACCUCUCCAAC